UACGGAGGGGGCAAGCGUUGUUCGGAGUUACUGGGCGUAAAGCGCGCGUAGGUGGCUUGAUAAGCCGGUUGUGAAAGCCCCGGGCUCAACCUGGGAACGGCAUCCGGAACUGUCAGGCUAGAGUGCAGGAGAGGAAGGUAGAAUUCCCGGUGUAGCGGUGAAAUGCGUAGAGAUCGGGAGGAAUACCAGUGGCGAAGGCGGCCAUCUGGCUGAUAACUGACGCUGAGGUGCGAGAGCGUGGGGAGCAAACAGG
Molecule: ribosomal RNA, 253 nt
Filed under: uncultured microorganism
Description: partial 16S ribosomal RNA
Rfam family: Bacterial small subunit ribosomal RNA
Source: RNAcentral